UUUUCCUGCAUGUAUGUUUGUGCACGAUGUCGUUACAGUGCCAGCAGAGGCAAGAAGGACAGUGUUGGAUCGCCCUGGAUGUGGAGUUAGAGAUGUUUGUUAGCCAGCAUGCGGGUGCUGGAAGUCAAACCUACAUCUUCUGGAAGAGUAGCCAGUUCUCAUCAUCUGAGCAAUUGUCCAAUUACCAAGGGUCUUCUGUACAUCUCAAAACACCAGUUGAGGGCUGUUGUACAGCAAUUCCUUCUAAGAUAAAACAUUCGGGAUCACUGGGAGUGCCACUGGGAUCACUGGCAGAGGAGAUUGUGCAGCAAUCAUUCUGUUCCUGCUGUGAACAUUACAAGCUAGAGCCGAGUACACAGGCUGGCCAUCAUGUCACGUUACAGUAUGGAGGAGAAAGCAAGGGAUAUGUUGGUAACCUGGGAACUGGUGUGGGUAAAGGAGAGUUAGAAAGAGCAUUCAGUUACUAUGGACCCUUAAGAACUGUAUGGAUUGCCAGAAAUCCUCCAGGAUUUGCCUUUGUGGAUUUGAAGACCCUAGAGAUGCAGAGGAUGCGGUUGGAGGAUUGGGUGGGAAAGUGAUUUGUGGUUCUCGAGUGAGGGUUGAAUUAUCAACAGGCAUGCCUCGGAGAUCUCGUUUUGAUAGGCCACCUGCCUGUCAUCCCUUUGAUCCUAAUGAUAGAUGCUAUGAGUGUGGUGAACAGGGACAUUAUGCUUAUGACUAUCAUCGCUGUAGCCGACGAAGAAGCAGGUCACGAUCUAGAUCACAUUCCGGAUCCAAGGGAAGGCGAUACUCUUACUCACGCAGCAGGAGCUGCGGAAGGAGGUCAAGAUCAACAUCUCCUCUAUGAUCAAGGUCUGUGUCUCUUCCUAGUUCAAGAUCAACUUCACUCAGAAGAUCUAAGUCUGUUUCUAUAAUAGGAUCGAGAUCCCACAAGGUCGAGAUCAAGAUCUAGGUCUAUUUCAUGACCAAGAAGCUGCCAAUCAAAAUCCAGAUCUCCAUCUCCUAGAAGAAGUCAUUCCCCAUCAGGAAGUCCACAUAGGAGUGCAAGUCCAGAAAGAAUGGACUGAAGUUCUCAAGUUCACCCGUUAGGAAAAAGUUUUUAUUUUUUUUUUGUUUAAAUUAUUAUAAGGGAUUUGUUACGUCUGUAAGUGUAACCUAGGAAGGAUCAACAACCAUCUAAUCAAAAUGGAUCUGGAUUAUUAUUCUGCAAAAUUCACAGCGGCAAAUGUUAUUUUUCUUGAAAGUAUUAACAUCUUAUGAUCUGAAAAUGUGGGUUUUUAUUUGACACAUUUAAAUAAAAUGUUUCUAACUAGGAAAAAAACCAUUCCAUUAUAGAAGGAAGCUUUUUAAGACUCAAGAUGUUCUUAAGGGAGAUAAUCAAGAUUCAGGAAAGAAAUAACAUAAAAAAACCUUCAGAAGUUCCUAAAACUGACUAGAUUCCUGAGGUUCUUCAUUGCCCAGGAAUGUAUAAACAGUAAGUUCUGCUGGACUCUCAGACCAGCUGAGCUUCCCUGAAAAGCUAGUUUCCAAUCAAUUAAGCUGUCAAUAAGUCAUAUAACUGAGCUGUGAUUCAUACUAGAGUGGACUUUUGUUAAACUAGCUGUCUUUGAGCUUGUUCUACUUCUGUAGGUAAACCCUCACCCAUACUCCCACAAGUAACACCAAUAAAAUUCACUAGUUCAUCAAGCU
This 1689-nucleotide long non-coding RNA is filed under the name Rattus norvegicus (Norway rat). RNAcentral describes it as "long non-coding RNA NONRATT031408". The record is from RNAcentral. Lineage: Eukaryota; Metazoa; Chordata; Mammalia; Rodentia; Muridae.